This 1461-nucleotide ribosomal RNA is filed under the name uncultured bacterium. Its description in RNAcentral is "16S ribosomal RNA". It matches the Rfam family "Bacterial small subunit ribosomal RNA". The record is from RNAcentral.
AGAGUUUGAUCCUGGCUCAGGACGAACGCUGGCGGCAUGCCUAAUACAUGCAAGUCGAACGGAUCUCUUCGGAGAUUAGUGGCGGACGGGGGAGUAACGCGUGNNNNNNNNNNNNNNNNNNNNNNNNNGAACGGAUCUCUUCGGAGAUUAGUGGCGGACGGGUGAGUAACGCGUGGGCAACCUGCCCCAAAGAUCGGGAUAACACUUCGAAAGGAGUGCUAAUACCGGGUGUGAUCUAGAAUUCGCAUGGAUUUUAGAAGAAAGGCUUCGGCCACUUUGGGAUGGGCCCGCGUCUGAUUAGCUAGUUGGUGGGGUAACGGCCUACCAAGGCGACGAUCAGUAGCCGACCUGAGAGGGUGAACGGCCACACUGGGACUGAGACACGGCCCAGACUCCUACGGGAGGCAGCAGUCGGGAAUAUUGGGCAAUGGACGAAAGUCUGACCCAGCAAUGCCGCGUGAGUGAUGAAGGUCUUCGGAUCGUAAAACUCUGUCUUUGGGGACGAACAAGGUGACGGUACCAAGGAGGAAGCCCCGGCUAACUACGUGCCAGCAGCCGCGGUAAUACGUAGGGGGCGAGCGUUGUCCGGAAUUACUGGGCGUAAAGGGCGAGUAGGCGGUUUUACAAGUCAGAUGUGAAAUACCAGGGCUUAACCCUGGAGCUGCAUUUGAAACUGUAAGACUUGAGUGCAGGAGAGGAAAGUGGAAUCCCCAGUGUAGCGGUGAAAUGCGUAGAUAUUGGGGGGAACACCAGUGGCGAAGGCGACUUUCUGGACUGUAACUGACGCUGAGGCGCGAAAGCGUGGGGAGCAAACAGGAUUAGAUACCCUGGUAGUCCACGCCGUAAACGAUGAGUGCUAGGUGUAGAGGGUAUCGACCCCUUCUGUGCCGCAGUUAACACAAUAAGCACUCCGCCUGGGGAGUACGGUCGCAAGACUGAAACUCAAAGGAAUUGACGGGGGCCCGCACAAGCAGCGGAGCAUGUGGUUUAAUUCGACGCAACGCGAAGAACCUUACCAGGACUUGACAUCCCUCGCUAUUUACUGAAAGGUUGAGUUCCCUUCGGGGACGAGGAGACAGGUGGUGCACGGUUGUCGUCAGCUCGUGUCGUGAGAUGUUGGGUUAAGUCCCGCAACGAGCGCAACCCUUGUCCUUAGUUGCCAGCAUAAAGAUGGGCACUCUAGGGAGACUGCCGGUGAUAAACCGGAGGAAGGUGGGGAUGACGUCAAAUCAUCAUGCCCCUUAUGUCCUGGGCUACACACGUGCUACAAUGGGCUGAACAGAGGGAAGCGAGACCGCGAGGUGGAGCCAAUCCCAUAAAACAGCUCUCAGUUCAGAUCGUAGGCUGCAACUCGCCUACGUGAAGAUGGAGUUGCUAGUAAUCGCGGAUCAGCAUGCCGCGGUGAAUGCGUUCACGGGUCUUGUACACACCGCCCGUCACACCACGGGAGUUGAUUGUACC